Molecule: ribosomal RNA, 465 nt
Filed under: uncultured bacterium
Lineage: Bacteria
Description: bacterial SSU rRNA
Rfam family: Bacterial small subunit ribosomal RNA
Source: RNAcentral
AGUUUGAUCCUGGCUCAGAACGAACGCUGGCGGCAGGCUUAACACAUGCAAGUCGAACGCCCCGCAAGGGGAGUGGCAGACGGGUGAGUAACGCGUGGGAACAUACCCUUUUCUACGGAAUAGCUCUGGGAAACUGGAAUUAAUACCGUAUACGCCCUACGGGGGAAAGAUUUAUCGGGGAAGGAUUGGCCCGCGUUGGAUUAGCUAGUUGGUGGGGUAAAGGCCUACCAAGGCGACGAUCCAUAGCUGGUCUGAGAGGAUGAUCAGCCACAUUGGGACUGAGACACGGCCCAAACUCCUACGGGAGGCAGCAGUGGGGAAUAUUGGACAAUGGGCGCAAGCCUGAUCCAGCCAUGCCGCGUGAGUGAUGAAGGCCUUAGGGUUGUAAAGCUCUUUCACCGAUGAAGAUAAUGACGGUAGUCGGAGAAGAAGCCCCGGCUAACUUCGUGCCAGCAGCCGCGGUAA